GUAGGAGGCAAGCGUUAUCCGGAAUGACUGGGCGUAAAGGGUGCGUAGGUGGUUCGGCAAGUUAGUAGCGUAAUUCCGGGGCUCAACCUCGGAACUACUACUAAAACUGUUGGGCUUGAGUGCAGGAGGGGCAUAUGGAAUUCCUAGUGUAGCGGUGGAAUGCGUAGAUAUUAGGAAGAACACCAGUGGCGAAGGCGAUAUGCUGGACUGUAACUGACACUGAGGCACGAAAGCGUGGGGAGCAAAC
RNAcentral lists this ribosomal RNA (247 nucleotides) under uncultured bacterium. RNAcentral's name for it is "partial 16S ribosomal RNA". It matches the Rfam family "Bacterial small subunit ribosomal RNA", at positions 527 to 773 of the family's 1533-position model. The record is from RNAcentral.